RNAcentral lists this long non-coding RNA (305 nucleotides) under Physcomitrium patens. Its description in RNAcentral is "long non-coding RNA (PPAT_LNC009958)". The record is from RNAcentral. Lineage: Eukaryota; Viridiplantae; Streptophyta; Bryopsida; Funariales; Funariaceae.
GCCUCGAUCCGCGUCUCCUCGUUUGCCAUCAGAAACCCCGAAAACUCAUCCUUGGACAUCGACGACCUCGGCGGGCUCCAAAAGAAAUUGUUGAAUGCGUGCAACUCUAAACCCUACCUCCAAAAGCUGUGGCUCCUCUGGUACACCCCACCCAACGCGUCAUCUCGAGGCGCCUCUGCAUCGUGCAUCGCCGCGGGUAAGAACGAGGUCCACCGCCGAAUUGCAUGCUGCGCUUGCACAUCCUGCGACAUAGGCAUGUAGUCACCCAUCGAUUCAUACAACGAUGGCGACCACCAACUCCCCCG